Molecule: ribosomal RNA, 425 nt
Filed under: uncultured bacterium
Lineage: Bacteria
Description: bacterial SSU rRNA
Rfam family: Bacterial small subunit ribosomal RNA
Source: RNAcentral
GAAUAUUGGACAAUGGGCGAAAGCCUGAUCCAGCCAUGCCGCGUGUGUGAAGAAGGUCUUCGGAUUGUAAAGCACUUUAAGUUGGGAGGAAGGGCAGUAAGUUAAUACCUUGCUGUUUUGACGUUACCGACAGAAUAAGCCCCGGCUAACUCUGUGCCAGCAGCCGCGGUAAUACAGAGGGUGCAAGCGUUAAUCGGAAUUACUGGGCGUAAAGCGCGCGUAGGUGGUUCGUUAAGUUGGAUGUGAAAUCCCCGGGCUCAACCUGGGAACUGCAUUCAAAACUGUCGAGCUAGAGUAUGGUAGAGGGUGGUGGAAUUUCCUGUGUAGCGGUGAGAUGCGUAGAUAUAGGAAGGAACACCAGUGGCGAAGGCGACCACCUGGACUGAUACUGACACUGAGGUGCGAAAGCGUGGGGAGCAAACAGG